CGGUAUCUUUUGACGUUAGCUGCAGAAGAAGCACCGGCUAAUUCCGUGCCAGCAGCCGCGGUAAUACGGAGGGUGCGAGCGUUAAUCGGAAUUACUGGGCGUAAAGCGCAUGCAGGUGGUUUGUUAAGUCAGAUGUGAAAGCCCGGGGCUCAACCUUGGAAUUGCAUUUGAAACUGGCAGGCUAGAGUACUGUAGAGGGGGGUAGAAUUUCAGGUGUAGCGGUGAAAUGCGUAGAGAUCUGAAGGAAUACCGGUGGCGAAGGCGGCCCCCUGGACAGAUACUGACACUCAGAUGCGAAAGCGUGGGGAGCAAACAGGAUUAGAUACCCUGGUAGUCCACGCCGUAAACGAUGUCUACUUGGAGGUUGUGGCCUUGAGCCGUGGCUUUCGGAGCUAACGCGUUAAGUAGACCGCCUGGGGAGUACGGUCGCAAGAUUAAAACUCAAAUGAAUUGACGGGGGCCCGCACCAGCGGUGGAGCAUGUGGUUUAAUUCGAUGCAACGCGAAGAACCUUACCUACUCUUGACAUCCAGAGAACUUAGCAGAGAUGCUUUGGUGCCUUCGGGAACUCUGAGACAGGUGCUGCAUGGCCGUCGUCAGCUCGUGUUGUGAAAUGUUGGGUUAAGUCCCGCAACGAGCGCAACCCUUAUCCUUGUUUGCCAGCGAGUAAUGUCGGGAACUCCAGGGAGACUGCCGGUGAUAAACCGGAGGAAGGUGGGGACGACGUCAAGUCAUCAUGGCCCUUACGAGUAGGGCUACACACGUGCUACAAUGGCGCAUACAGAGGGCGGCCAACUUGCGAAAGCGAGCGAAUCCCAAAAAGUGCGUCGUAGUCCGGAUUGGAGUCUGCAACUCGACUCCAUGAAGUCGGAAUCGCUAGUAAUCGUGAAUCAGAAUGUCACGGUGAAUACGUUCCCGGGCCUUGUACACACCGCCCGUCACACCAUGGGAGUGGGCUGCAAAAGAAGCAGGUAGUUUAACCUUCGGGAGG
This 990-nucleotide ribosomal RNA is filed under the name Vibrio fluvialis. Its description in RNAcentral is "bacterial SSU rRNA". It matches the Rfam family "Bacterial small subunit ribosomal RNA", at positions 460 to 1449 of the family's 1533-position model. The record is from RNAcentral. Lineage: Bacteria; Pseudomonadati; Pseudomonadota; Gammaproteobacteria; Vibrionales; Vibrionaceae.